This 1608-nucleotide ribosomal RNA is filed under the name Triticum aestivum (bread wheat). Its description in RNAcentral is "partial small subunit ribosomal RNA". Lineage: Eukaryota; Viridiplantae; Streptophyta; Magnoliopsida; Poales; Poaceae. The record is from RNAcentral.
AUGGCGUUUGCUGGCAUGUCUCUCGUCACCGCUGAGGGCAAGCUGUGCACGUCCACCGUGUCGCCCAUCGACUCCCGCGCGGCCAGCGGGUACCACUGCUCGCGGUCGAAGGCUUCUCGAGAAACAAGACACCAACCGGCCAGUACAUCAGAUCUCUUACUUUCUUGGUUGGAGGCCGCCGCUGUCUGCGAUAAAGAUUUCAUAAGAAGAUCUACGUUGGAAAGAUCUUCGCAUCUCAAGGAUGACAGCUUCAUCAUCCGUUGUGACGUCAUUGUACUUGACGUCAAGGCCGACGUCAACACGGAGGUUGGCGCUACCACCAUCGUUUCUCAGUUCAUCCAAGUCCCUCCUUCGGACAUGGCAAUCCACUUCAAGUAUCUCCUCAUGUCCAAGGAGGGUGCUGACGUGACGUUUGAGGUUGGCGGCGAAGCAUUUGCUGCGCAUCGAUGUGUGCUUGCAGCGCGAUCUAUGGCCUUCAAGUCACAGCUGUUUGGUGACACUCCUGGUGGUGCUACUGUGAAGAUCGAUGAGGGAGCCCCAAAAGCAGUCCAACAUGUAAUGUGGCUGCUGCAGUUGCUUGAAGCUGCGGAGAGAUAUGAUCUCCAUAGGCUGAAGUCGAUCUGCCAAGAAGAGUUGGGCACCAGCAUUCAGCUGAACACAGUAGCGGAAAUCAUUGUUGGAGCUGAGCGGGGACGCUACCGUUGGUUGAAGGAAGAGUGCUGGGAGUUCAUCAAAUCUAACACAACCGUGCACACAGUUUUCACAGCUGAGGAGAUUGAGCAGAUCGUCAAAUCCUGCAGCGCCUCCGUUCUCAACAAGCUCCUCUCCAAGAUGUCAGCACUGAUCCUAAAGCAUGUUAAAGCAGAGGUCCACGGCCACCCACCGCAGACGGUGAGCGGACCGCGGAGGCCGACCGCCGCAGCUGGCUGCGAUACUCGCCGGCGCCGAGCACCUGGCCGGCGUGCUCCGGGUCCGAGCCGAGCGUCUCCAUCUGCUGUCGUGGGCGGAGGCCGAGGGGCGAGUGACGCGGCGGUCACCGAGGCCGCCGCCAUCUGCGCGCUAAUCGCCGUCGCGGAGCUGACCGUCCCCGACGCCAUCGGAGUCCGCCAUCGCUCCGAGCUGCGUCUCCUCCGCCGCGCACCUUCGCACCCGUCCACGGUGACCAGGCGAUGCCCAUGGGCGACGGGACCCUCCUGCUCGUCUUCUACGGGCGCUGCGGUUGCCGGGAAUUCUAGGCCGGAGGCCAUCAUGCGCUAUUUUUUGCUAUCGCUGCUAUGUGUCACUACUGUCAGAAUGGCAAAAGACCAUGGAAAUUUUGCCGUGCAGAAGUCUAAAAAAAAGGCCUGUAGGGCCCGGUGGAUGGGGCGUUCGCGCUGGUUCGUUCUUCUCCCGAACGAAAUCGUUCGGUCGAUGCCCCUGCCCUCCCGAACGAGUCGUUCGGGCCGGGGUGUCUACAGCCCGAACGUCCGGAGCUCCGUGUACAGUGUGGCUGUUGCAUCCAGUCGUCAGUUGAAUAUGCUCUUAAUUUUGGUUGACUUUAAUCAGCUUGACCUGUUUCAAGAGAUGAGCGGAUCAUAUCCCGACCCGGAUGCCUCCUUGAUAACCUAA